Molecule: ribosomal RNA, 492 nt
Filed under: uncultured bacterium
Lineage: Bacteria
Description: partial 16S ribosomal RNA
Rfam family: Bacterial small subunit ribosomal RNA
Source: RNAcentral
AGUGAACGCUGGCGGUAGGCCUAACACAUGCGAGUCGAACGGCAGCACAGUAAGAGCUUGCUCUUACGGGUGGCGAGUGGCGGACGGGUGAGGAAUACAUCGGAAUCUACUUUUUCGUGGGGGAUAACGUAGGGAAACUUACGCUAAUACCGCAUACGACCUACGGGUGAAAGCAGGGGAUCUUCGGACCUUGCGCGAUUGAAUGAGCCGAUGUCGGAUUAGCUAGUUGGCGGGGUAAAGGCCCACCAAGGCGACGAUCCGUAGCUGGUCUGAGAGGAUGAUCAGCCACACUGGAACUGAGACACGGUCCAGACUCCUACGGGAGGCAGCAGUGGGGAAUAUUGGACAAUGGGCGCAAGCCUGAUCCAGCCAUACCGCGUGGGUGAAGAAGGCCUUCGGGUUGUAAAACCCUUUUGUUGGGAAAGAAAAGCAGCAGGUUAAUACCCCGCUGUUCUGACGGUACCCAAAGAAUAAGCACCGGCUAACUUCGUG